This 429-nucleotide ribosomal RNA is filed under the name Actinomycetes bacterium. RNAcentral's name for it is "Actinobacteria bacterium partial 16S ribosomal RNA". It matches the Rfam family "Bacterial small subunit ribosomal RNA", at positions 355 to 776 of the family's 1533-position model. The record is from RNAcentral. Lineage: Bacteria; Bacillati; Actinomycetota; Actinomycetes.
UAGGGAAUCUUCCGCAAUGGGCGAAAGCUUGACGGAGCAACGCCGCGUGAGUGAUGAAGGUCUUCGGAUCGUAAAACUCUGUUAUUAGGGAAGAACAAAUGUGUAAGUAACUAUGCACGUUUUGACGGUACCUAAUCAGAAAGCCACGGCUAACUACGCGCCAGCAGCCGCGGUAAUACGUAGGUGGCAAGCGUUACCCGGAAUUAUUGGGCGUAAAGCGCGCGUAGGCGGUUUUUUAAGUCUGAUGUGAAAGCCCACGGCUCAAACGGGGAGGGUCAUUGUAAACUGGAAAACUUGAGUGCAGAAGAGGAAAGUGGAAUUCCAUGUGGAGCGGUGAAAUGCGCAGAGAUAUGGAGGAACACCAGUGGCGAAGGCGACUUUCUGGUCUGUAACUGACGCUGAUGUGCGAAAGCGUGGGGAUCAAACAGG